GAUGAAGAACGUAGCGAAACGCGGUAGUUAAUGUGAAUUGCAGAAUUCAGUGAAUCAUCGAGUCUUUGAACGCACAUUGCGCCUUUUGGUAUUCCGAAAGGCAUGUCUGUUUGAGCGUCAUUACAACUCCUCGUUAACAAAUUUUUGUGAACGGUCUUGAGCGUCUGGUGGCGUGCCUCGCGCACGGCCGGCUCUAAAGUCAAUAAUGAAAUGCUCUGCCAGCCGUCUGGAAAAACUUUACGUAGUAAUACUUUACAACCGUUCUGCUUGACAGUCGUGCCCGGCCUGAAAAACCUUACUCAACCUCUUUAGGUUUGACCUCAGAUCAGACAAGGAUACCCGCUGAACUUAAGCAUAUCAAUAAGCGGAGGA
Molecule: unclassified non-coding RNA, 372 nt
Filed under: soil metagenome
Description: partial contains 5.8S ribosomal RNA, internal transcribed spacer 2, and large subunit ribosomal RNA
Rfam family: 5.8S ribosomal RNA (bases 1-120)
Source: RNAcentral